Long non-coding RNA from Nilaparvata lugens (brown planthopper), 1585 nucleotides. RefSeq lists it as uncharacterized. NCBI's taxonomy places the organism in Eukaryota, Metazoa, Arthropoda, Insecta, Hemiptera, Delphacidae. The transcript is spliced from 8 exons. The record is from RefSeq and is a predicted model, not a curated record.
GCUUUCUACUCUGUCUUGUCUUGUCAAAACAACAACUGUCGGGUUUAUUCUUAUUGUUAAUUUUGAAAGUUCCCUUGAUAACAAUGAAUAUUAUUGUAAUUCUAAAGUAUAUCUGUUCGAAAUAACAGUUUUUCAACAUAAUUUUAUAGUUUCUAAUUACGUGAAUGUGCUAUAAUUGGUGCUACAUUUAUCUGACUCCAUAAACGUAAGUGGUCAAGACAAUGAAUACUGAUGUGCUCAAACGUUGACUGAAUUUUCAUUCUAUCUACAUUUUAGAUGUGUCAGCAACGCAUCGAUUGGAGCUUGGCUACUGAUUUACUCCUGUCAUGGACCACAGCUUUCAAGUAUGGCACUUGACAGGUAUGGACCAACAAAUUAGUGGAGGAGAUACUUGAGACGAGUUCUGCAAUGUAUUGAUGAAGCCAGAUUGCUGGAGGUUGAGAUACAUGGAUGCUGAUUUAUGAGCUUGCUAUCCUGAUGUGACUUGAGUCAGACGACCAGAGCAGAGUAGAGCCUUCGCGUGUGCUUGUUGACAACAGCUGUGAGCAGAGUGAGAGAGAGAACAAGAGGGAGCUGUAGAUCGUCACCGGAACAUUUGAGCGAGCGAAGUGAGCUCUCACCACUUGAUCAUCACUGAUGUGUCGCCGAGCGAAGUGAGAUCUCACCACCUGAGAUCAUCACUGUGUGUCGCCGAGCGAAGCGAGUUCUCACCCCCUGUUGCAGUCUUCAUUCAUCUGGAUUGUGCGGUGUGAAGGGAACACAGUCAGCAACGCAUCGAAUGGAGCUUGGUAGACUCCUGUCAUGGACCACAGUUCUCAAGUAUGGCACUUGACAGGUAUGGACCAAAUUUUUGGAGGAGAUACAUAAGACGAGUUCUGCAAUAUAUUGAAGAAGCCUAUGAUAUGUUGGUAUCCUGAUUAUAUGAUUGAUCACCUGAUUUGUUUCCUUGUCUCAUGGUCCACAUCCUUCAACACAGUGUGUUGGAAUGUUGGAAGCUGGCAGAGGAAGGAAUGUUGCUAGCCAUCUCUCUCUAAUUUCUCCCACCCAUCACCAAUGGACGGACGGACAUUGUACUCACACACAGUACUCGAGGAACGCGAUUUGGCAGUCGCAUUAACAACUCUGGCAUUCAAAUACAUUCGUUUAAUGUUAUCAAAUUAUUCGUCAUUUUUAAUGUAUUCGUCCAUCUUUUGAUUUUAUGUUUUAUUCAUCAGUAAUGAAAUCUCAUUUUCUGUUUUUAAAAUCAGUUUGUAAUUAGUAGUUAAAUUGUAGUUUUCAUUUUCAUUUUAUGAUUUCUUCAUUCAUCUUAUUAUAUUUUCAUGUUUUAUUCAUCAGUAAUGAAAUCUCAUUUUCUGUUUUUAAAAUCAGUUUGUAAUUAGUAGUUAAAUUUUAGUUUUCAUUUUUAUUUUAUGAUUUCUUCAUUCAUCUUAUUAUUUUAUGUUUUAUUCAUAAGUAAUAAACUAACAUUUUCUGUUUAGUAUCAUGUAGUUUCCAUUUUUAUUUUAUCCACUUGUUAUUAUUAUUGUAACCUUGAGUCGCCCUUCCAAUACCACAUAUUAUGUUGGUGAGAAUUAGAAGUAGUGAU